GUGGGGAAUUUUGGACAAUGGGCGAAAGCCUGAUCCAGCCAUGCCGCGUGUGUGAAGAAGGUCUUCGGAUUGUAAAGCACUUUAAGUUGGGAGGAAGGGCAGUAAGUUAAUACCUUGCUGUUUUGACGUUACCAACAGAAUAAGCACCGGCUAACUUCGUGCCAGCAGCCGCGGUAAUACGAAGGGUGCAAGCGUUAAUCGGAAUUACUGGGCGUAAAGCGCGCGUAGGUGGUUCAGCAAGUUGAAGGUGAAAUCCCCGGGCUCAACCUGGGAACUGCCUCCAAAACUACUGAGCUAGAGUACGGUAGAGGGUAGUGGAAUUUCCUGUGUAGCGGUGAAAUGCGUAGAUAUAGGAAGGAACACCAGUGGCGAAGGCGACUACCUGGACUGAUACUGACACUGAGGUGCGAAAGCGUGGGGAGCAAACAGGAUUAGAAACCCCUGUAGUCC
This 450-nucleotide ribosomal RNA is filed under the name uncultured bacterium. Its description in RNAcentral is "partial 16S ribosomal RNA". It matches the Rfam family "Bacterial small subunit ribosomal RNA", at positions 354 to 796 of the family's 1533-position model. The record is from RNAcentral.